CCAGCAUGCCCUGACAGCCGAAGGCAUGCUGUGAGUUGUAGUUUUGCAACAGGUGGACAGCCACAGGGGAUCACUGAUGCAGUACGUCAAUCUAAGGCCAUGGUGUCUGAUCUUGAACUGGCAGCAGGAGCCACGACCACUUUAAAUCAAUGGCUGCCGGGACGUCUGACGAGUGACAUCCUACGCUGCAGACCCCAACGUCAGGGACGUCACUUGUCAGACAUCCUGGCGACCAGCGCUGCUUAUUGAGCCUGCCGGAGCCGCACUGAUCUAUCCAAUCAGAGAGCAGCACUGCUCAAAUAGAACUCCCAGGAGGUAACAGCGUGUCACACAUGUGAUGUCAUAACCAUUGUCCACCAGAGAGCAGCACUGAGCAGAUAUAACACUGCUCCUGCUCAUUCUCCAUCAGUGAGGGGUCGGUGCUGGACACUGUAGGGACGCGGGAAUGUGAAGUCAAAAACAUGACUGUGACUGAUGCAUUAUUUCCAGCAUGUGGAGUAGCAUUUCCGGACUUAAAGCAAGAAGUUGGAUGAUGGCCUAGAUUUCCGGACCUACAGCAAGAUGUUGGAUGAAGGCCUAGAUUUCCGGACCUACAGCAAGAAGUUGGAUGAAGGCACAGCCCCUCGAAUCACGAACAUACACAGACACAUUGGCCCAAAUUCUAGAGGUAAUCUCCUUUAGUAUGCCCAGAGGAAGGGCAAUACAGUAGCCAUGGAUUCCCUACAGGUUUCCUCCCCUCUGGAGGUUUUUCCUGUCCUGAGUUAGUUACUGUACGCUCUUUGUGAGUGAUGGGAGGUUACAAAAAAUCCCUACACAAACACUUUUAUAAAUAAUAAAUAAA
This is a long non-coding RNA of Hyla sarda, 841 nucleotides long. RefSeq lists it as uncharacterized. Lineage: Eukaryota; Metazoa; Chordata; Amphibia; Anura; Hylidae. The record is from RefSeq and is a predicted model, not a curated record. The transcript is spliced from 3 exons.